RNAcentral lists this non-coding RNA (24 nucleotides) under Cricetulus griseus (Chinese hamster). The record is from RNAcentral. Lineage: Eukaryota; Metazoa; Chordata; Mammalia; Rodentia; Cricetidae.
UCAUUGUUUAUAUUCUGUAAUCGC